AUCUUCAAGUUAUGAGAUGAUAGAGCCUUUUUAGGCUUUAUUUAGUAGAGGUUGUAACUAGAAUAAAUUCAAGUCGUAUAGAUAGAUUUGAAAACUUCUAGGCGGAUGAUUCUCAGUUUUGAGAAAGCUAGAACUUUCUCAGUUUGCUUUUUGAAAGGAAAAGAUAAUAACCGAGUUAACUUAGAUAGUUAAUCAUACGUAAAUUAUUA
This 209-nucleotide unclassified non-coding RNA is filed under the name Mycoplasma haemofelis. RNAcentral's name for it is "partial 16S-23S ribosomal RNA intergenic spacer". Lineage: Bacteria; Bacillati; Mycoplasmatota; Mollicutes; Mycoplasmatales; Mycoplasmataceae. The record is from RNAcentral.